Molecule: ribosomal RNA, 429 nt
Filed under: Chloroflexota bacterium
Lineage: Bacteria; Bacillati; Chloroflexota
Description: Chloroflexi bacterium partial 16S ribosomal RNA
Rfam family: Bacterial small subunit ribosomal RNA
Source: RNAcentral
UGGGGAAUAUUGCACAAUGGGCGCAAGCCUGAUGCAGCCAUGCCGCGUGUAUGAGGAAGGCCUUCGGGUUGUAAAGUACUUUCAGCGGGGAGGAAGGGAGUAAAGUUAAUACCUUUGCUCAUUGACGUUACUCGCAGCAGAAGCACCGGCUAACUCCGUGCCAGCAGCCGCGGUCAUACGGAGGGUGCAAGCGUUAAUCGGAAUUACUGGGCGUAAAGCGCACGCAGGCGGUUUGUUAAGUCAGAUGUGAAAUCCCCGGGCUCAACCUGCGAACUGCAUCUGAUACUGGCAAGCUUGAGUCUCGUAGAGGGGGGUAGAAUUCCAGGUGUAGCGGUGAAAUGCGUAGAGAUCUGGAGGAAUACCGGUGGCGAAGGCGGCCCCCUAGACGUAGACUAACGCUCAGGUGCGAAAGCGUGGGGGGCAAACAGG